GUGCUCUCUUCGGCAGCACAUAUACUAAAACUGGAAUGAUACAGAAAAGAUUAGCAUGGCCCCUAUGCAAGAAGCAAAUCUCUGACGCAUUCCAUAUCUUU
This 101-nucleotide small nuclear RNA is filed under the name Chinchilla lanigera (long-tailed chinchilla). The record is from RNAcentral. Lineage: Eukaryota; Metazoa; Chordata; Mammalia; Rodentia; Chinchillidae.